GGCGGCGCAUGCGCGGCCCGCGGGCUACCCGGCUCCGCCCCGCGCGCACUAUUUAAUCCCAGAAUCCCUCUGUGUCGCACCAAACGGCCGCAUAGUUCCGAGGCUGCGGAGGCCGGGCGCGGUGGCGUCAAGAUGGCGGCUGCGGCAGUGGCGGCGGCGGCGGCGGCGGCCGCGGCUGCAUCUCUUCAGGUGCUGGAGAUGGAGAGCAUGGAGACGGCCGCUGCCGGCUCGGCAGGCCUGGCCGCCGAGGUCCGAGGCAGCGGCACGGUGGACUUCGGGCCUGGGCCAGGGAUCUCUGCAAUGGAGGCGAGCGGGGGCGAUCCGGGCCCAGAAGCCGAGGAUUUCGAGUGCAGCUCUCACUGUUCAGAGCUGUCCUGGCGGCAGAACGAGCAGCGACGCCAGGGCCUCUUCUGCGACAUUACCCUGUGCUUCGGCGGGGCUGGAGGCCGCGAGUUCCGGGCCCACCGCUCGGUACUGGCUGCCGCCACCGAGUACUUCACGCCCCUGCUCUCGGGCCAGUUUUCCGAGUCCCGCUCGGGACGGGUGGAGAUGCGCAAGUGGAGCUCCGAGCCGGGGCCCGAACCCGACACUGUGGAAGCCGUUAUCGAGUACAUGUACACCGGGCGCAUCCGCGUCAGCACGGGCAGCGUGCACGAGGUGCUGGAGUUGGCCGACAGGUUCCUACUCAUUCGUUUAAAAGAAUUUUGUGGAGAAUUUCUCAAGAAAAAACUUCAUCUCUCAAAUUGUGUGGCAAUUCAUAGCUUAGCCCACAUGUACACCCUGAGCCAACUUGCUUUGAAGGCUGCUGAUAUGAUACGGAGAAAUUUCCACAAAGUGAUUCAGGAUGAAGAAUUUUAUACAUUACCUUUCCAUCUCAUUAGAGACUGGCUUUCAGAUUUGGAAAUUACAGUUGAUUCUGAAGAGGUUCUCUUUGAAACCGUUUUGAAAUGGGUUCAGAGAAAUGCUGAAGAGAGAGAGAGAUACUUUGAAGAACUUUUUAAAUUGCUCAGGUUGUCCCAGAUGAAACCUACCUACCUUACUCGACAUGUCAAACCAGAGAGGCUGGUAGCCAAUAAUGAAGUUUGUGUCAAGUUGGUGGCUGACGCAGUGGAGAGACAUGCUCUGAGAGCUGAGAAUAUACAAUCGGGCACAUGCCAGCACCCCACUUCUCAUGUCUCACUAUUGCCUCGUUAUGGGCAAAACAUGGAUGUGAUCAUGGUUAUUGGAGGUGUGUCAGAAGGAGGGGACUAUUUAAGUGAAUGUGUGGGGUAUUUUGUUGAUGAGGACAGAUGGGUAAACCUGCCACAUAUUCAUAAUCACCUCGAUGGACAUGCUGUUGCAGUAACAGAAUCCUACGUGUAUGUUGCUGGAUCAAUGGAGCCAGGGUUUGCUAAAACUGUUGAAAGGUAUAACCCAAAUUUGAAUACUUGGGAACAUGUUUGUAGUCUGAUGACAAGAAAGCAUUCUUUUGGACUAACAGAAGUCAAAGGGAAGCUCUAUAGCAUUGGAGGACAUGGCAACUUUAGUCCUGGUUUUAAAGAUGUGACUGUUUAUAAUCCUGAGCUUGAUAAAUGGCACAACUUGGAAUCGGCACCAAAGAUUCUUCGAGAUGUCAAAGCACUAGCCAUUGAAGACCGGUUUGUAUACAUUGCCGCCCGCACUCCUGUAGACCGGGACACUGAAGAUGGAUUAAAGGCUGUAAUUACUUGCUAUGAUACAGAGACUCGACAGUGGCAAGAUGUGGAAUCUUUGCCCCUUAUUGACAAUUACUGCUUUUUCCAAAUGUCUGUGGUCAAUUCAAACUUUUAUCAGACAGCAUCAUGUUGUCCCAAGAGUUAUUGUUUAGAAAACGAAGAAGCAGUAAGAAAAAUUGCCAGCCAAGUGUCUGAUGAGAUCCUUGAAAGCUUGCCUCCAGAAGUUCUAAGCAUUGAAGGAGCAGCCAUUUGCUAUUACAAAGAUGAUGUCUUCAUUAUAGGAGGCUGGAAAAACAGUGAUGAUAUUGAUAAACAGUAUCGGAAAGAAGCCUACCGAUACUGUGCUGAGAGGAAGAGGUGGAUGCUUCUUCCUCCUAUGCCACAACCUCGUUGUAGAGCCACUGCUUGUCACGUGCGGAUCCCAUACCGGUACUUGCAUGGCACACAGAGGUAUCCUAUGCCUCAAAACCUGAUGUGGCAGAAGGACCGCAUCAGACAGAUGCAAGAGAUACAUCGUCACGCCCUGAACAUGCGGCGAGUGCCAAGCUCUCAGAUAGAAUGCUAGGUUCUCUCAAGCGUGCCAAUUAAAACUGUUAUACCCGUUUCGUGAAGCUGAAGAUAUCCAGGCUGUUACUUGAAAAACAGGCAGCCUAGGCCACGGCUGAAAAGAAGGGGUAAGUCCUUCAUUGCAUGAUGAUGUGUGCAGGUUUUCCUGAAUUUCUAAUUUUUAUAUUUGAAUUCACAUGUGUAAUUUCACAUCAAUAACUUGUGUUUCUGAAAUAUCCUAACUAACUUGUUAAUGAGGAAAGAAACCAGAUUUGCUUAAAUCUGUUCAAGGCUGACAUUCUGAAAUUCUUAACUGGAAAUAACUUCCCAGAGUAUUUGGAAAGGUUCUAAUUACAAGGAUUAGGCCUAAAAUAGCUCCUUGGGAAAGAAGUUUCCUUGUUGAUGAGAAAACUUAAAAGAUUCUUUUUGGUAAUGUAAGCAGUUAAAAAUAUGACUUUAGCAAGACAGCUUAAUGCGUAUUCAAGCAAACCUUUGUUUUGUUGCUUUCCUUUUGUUUGUAGAAGAGAGAGGAAGUCAUUAUACCAAAAAGUAAUAGUUACAUAACUUUGAGUGAGGCUACUUACAUCUUUUUUUUUUUUUUUUUUGGAGACGGAGUCUCGCUCUGUCGCCCAAGCUGGAGUGCAGUGGCGCGAUCCUGGCUCACUGCAAGCUCCACCUCCUGGGUUCACGCCAUUCUCCUGCCUCAGCCUCCCGAGUAGCUGGAACUACAGGCGCCCACCACCGCGCCCGGCUCAUUUUUUGUAUUUUUUUAGUAGAGACGGGGUUUCACCAUGGUCUCGAUCUCCUGCCCUUGUGAUCCGCCCGCCUCGGCCUCCCAAAGUGCUGGGAUUACAGGCGUGAGCCACCGCGCCCGGCCUACUUACAUCUUAGAAUGGGUAUCCUUGAACUAUAUCUACCGCACCAUGGCUUAAAAAAAAAAUCAGUGGUAUAUAUUGAGAAUGUCAGUCAUGAGCUUAGUGUUUAAGUAACACAUCCCACUUACAGUUGUUUGCAUGAUUAGUCUUGUGUAUCAUGAUAUUCAACUUUGCGUUUGCUGUGCCAGUUCAAAAAUAACUUUUUUGCUAAAAACUCUUAAAAUUCAUGACAUAAGUUUUGUUUUGAUCACCUGGUUUUAUAUAGUAUUUCUGGGACCAAAAAAUUUAAAUAUACCUUUUUAAUAUAGAACAGAAGUUUGAAGCUGGGAAGAUAGUGUUUAUGGAAGAUUUGUGUGUUUUUGUUUUUUUAAACCCGUCAGGCUGCUGGUAAGGCAGUUUCUAGGGCUAACUUUUCCUCCUUACCUCUUGACUAGUGUAGCAUGUGGUAUGUUUAAAAUACUUCAUUUUCUGCUUUGUAAUUCUAAUAUCAACACUACACUGUAUGUAGACAGGUGAGCUGAAUGGUAUGUUUUAGUUAUUUGGUCUAAUCAAGCAUAACUAAAGGGACUUCUUUUUUGGUACUUUUCUCAAAUUAAGUUUAAAUAUAGUAUACUGGCCACAUUUCAUGUCUUUGAAAGUUUACAUUACUGUAAACCAAGUACUCUGUCUACACCAGAGGGUGCUUUAACUAUAAAAUAUUUGAGAAACAAUUCAGUCUCUCCUGAACUCUCAAACAUUUUGGCACAGUUCAUCACUCCAGUUUGUUACUUUCUUGAGAAUAGUCCUUUUUUGUUUUUGUUAUUAUAACGUAUGUUCUGGUCAUUGGAAACAGAACAGCUCAUAGUUGAGUGAUGUAAUAUAAUAACAGUAAUAUAACCUAGUAGUCAUUUUGCUUCAAGGAAUUUAAUUAGAUAGCAAAAUCACUGCUGUUUAUUACAUUUGUAGGGCUUUUUGUCUUACUCAGUGACCAUCACUACGAAUGUCUUACAUUGAAGCACAGACUGCAGAGCACUUGUUAACUUAAUCCUCCUGCAUAAUGCACUCGUGAAAAGUAGUGCUUGCUAGGUGUUUGAAGAUUUUAUGAUCCAUGUGCUUGGGCUCGUUGAGUUAUUUGUAAAAUAAACAUUUAGUUUGAGUUGAUGCAGUGAGUUUUUUGGGCUAGUAGUAUCCAGGUCCCUACUCUACUGAAAAUGUAAUCUUCACUAUUUCCCUUUAAGUCAGAGGAGAUGUAGUAGUUAGAACACCUUGAGACAUUACAUUGUAAAAUAGCUCAUUUUAUGUUCCUGAAGCUAUCUUGUUCUCUGUUAAAGCUACUAAUUGUCUCAGUGUAAGUUUUAAAUAAAUAUAUUUCUUUAAAGCUGG
Macaca mulatta (Rhesus monkey) is the source of this 4477-nucleotide RNA transcript. It is a transcript of the gene named kelch like family member 11, with no coding region annotated. NCBI's taxonomy places the organism in Eukaryota, Metazoa, Chordata, Mammalia, Primates, Cercopithecidae. The record is from RefSeq and is a predicted model, not a curated record.